CUUUUUUCCAAUCUCCAUCCUUUUUAAUCUCAAGAUGGAAUUCAAUAAUCCGUUGUCCCAUGUGAAUUGGCUCUUGCACUCGCAAAACAUUGAAAGAUAGUGAUUCCUGAAGAUCUAAAUGCAACUCCCAAUCAGAUUGAUUCUCCUCAGGAGCCCAAUAGGUGUAGAUUCCUUCUUCAAGGACAUUGAAGGGUUUAAACCGUGAAUCAUUAGUGCCUCCUCGCGUACUGCUCGCGCUAAAAAGGCCAUUCUUGGCUAGAUUAUUGGAGAAU
This 272-nucleotide unclassified non-coding RNA is filed under the name Hevea brasiliensis (rubber tree). The record is from RNAcentral. Lineage: Eukaryota; Viridiplantae; Streptophyta; Magnoliopsida; Malpighiales; Euphorbiaceae.